RNAcentral lists this microRNA precursor (85 nucleotides) under Triticum aestivum (bread wheat). RNAcentral's name for it is "MIR9657 microRNA precursor family". It matches the Rfam family "MIR9657 microRNA precursor family". Lineage: Eukaryota; Viridiplantae; Streptophyta; Magnoliopsida; Poales; Poaceae. The record is from Rfam by way of RNAcentral.
GCGGCGUGCGGGCUCCGUUCGCUGGAGAAGCUUGCUGCGGACCAGCGCCACGUGCUUCCCCGUCUAACGGCGGCAACCGCGUUGC